This 219-nucleotide long non-coding RNA is filed under the name Elaeis guineensis (African oil palm). Its description in RNAcentral is "long non-coding RNA (EGUI_LNC046015)". Lineage: Eukaryota; Viridiplantae; Streptophyta; Magnoliopsida; Arecales; Arecaceae. The record is from RNAcentral.
GAUUAUGAUCACUCAUCUAUAAGAGUUGUAUGAUGAGCAGAGCCACACAGUGUGACUCGAGGUGUCCAAGAGACUCUUCAAGCUGAAGAUGCAUGAAGGACAGUCAGUCCAUGAACAUUAUAUGAUAGUGAUCAAGGAUAUUAAGGAGCUUGAGAAGCUCAAGCUUGAUAUGUAGAAGAAAUUACAAAUAGAUUUGAUCUUUCAAUCUCUUAUGAGUUU